GUGCAUCAUCCCCACAUCACUUGUGUAAUAAGACCAUGUCAUUACCCCCAUUUUGUUCGCUUGUUUUUUCCAAAAAAAAAAAACAUCUUGCAGAGAGUGUUGGGAGCCCUUUGGUUUGGUGCGUACACACAUGGCGAGGCAUUACUACUUAUAGUAUCCCGGACCACGCACAUUUCCUCAUUUGCUAGGUCUUGUCAGUUCUCAGAUGAAACCCUGUGCAAGCUGAUGAUACCUCCUCGGAUCUGAAGAACUGCCUGCGUCGGCUGUAUUGGCUUCGGCAGGAAGAGGUGAAUUCAGCAAGGCCCCCCGAGCCCUUCUGCAUGUAAGUGAUGGAUCGCCUAUUCGUCUCUGUUCUUGUGCUGUGUCGACAUCAACAGGCUUUACUUCCACGGAAUGGUCGAUCGAUCGGAGGCGUUUCUGGUUCUACAACUACGGAGGAGAUCCGAAAUCUGGUUUUUUGUUCGACUAGAGGCUUUACUUCCAAGGAAUGGUUUUUUUUUGUUUCUCCACAUACAUGCAUGGACAAGUAGCCAGCAGUAGUCUGAAGAAGCUAGAGAUGCUUAAUAGUAGUCAUUGGUUGAUGCAUGGUUCUAUUGGUCCCGCAUGCUCUCUGUCAAGCCGGAGCUACGAUGACCAAAUUCUGUUCUUUUUGCGUAGGAUUAGGAUGUGCUGGGAGAACCCUCAACCUCUAGCUAGUGGAACAACAAAAUCAGGCCAUCGUCACGGGCAGGCCCGCGCAAAGAUUAUUAGGUAGUAGCAUACGCUGCUGCCGACUGAUAAUGUAAUGGCGCGGCGCUCAACUGGCAGCCAAACAAACGCAGGCUCUGACGGUCGCCGAUCGAGCUGGCCCCAUGAGGCCAUGAGGGGAGGCGUUUGCCUUUUCGCCACCA
Zea mays is the source of this 890-nucleotide long non-coding RNA. RefSeq lists it as uncharacterized. NCBI's taxonomy places the organism in Eukaryota, Viridiplantae, Streptophyta, Magnoliopsida, Poales, Poaceae. The transcript is spliced from 2 exons. The record is from RefSeq and is a predicted model, not a curated record.